This 207-nucleotide ribosomal RNA is filed under the name uncultured bacterium. Its description in RNAcentral is "partial 16S ribosomal RNA". It matches the Rfam family "Bacterial small subunit ribosomal RNA", at positions 568 to 774 of the family's 1533-position model. The record is from RNAcentral.
CGCGUAGGCGGCCCGGCAAGUGGUGUGUGAAAUGCCCUGGCUCAACCAGGGAACUGCGCCCCAAACUGCUUGGCUUGAGGACAGUAGAGGAAGCUGGAAUUCCGGGUGUAGCGGUGAAAUGCGUAGAUAUCCGGAGGAACACCGUUGGCGAAGGCGAGCUUCUGGGCUGUUCCUGACGCUGAGGCGCGAAAGCUGGGGGAGCAAACA